GAAGUAUUGGACAAUGGGCGAAAGCCUGAUCCAGCAAUGCCGCGUGGGUGAAGAAGGUCUUCGGAUUGUAAAGCCCUUUCGGCGGGGACGAUGAUGACGGUACCCGCAGAAGAAGCCCCGGCUAACUUCGUGCCAGCAGCCGCGGUAAUACGAAGGGGGCUAGCGUUGCUCGGAAUGACUGGGCGUAAAGGGCGCGUAGGCGGCCGCAUUUGUCAGGCGUGAAAGUCCUGGGCUCAACCCGGGGACGGCGCUUGGGACGGUGUGGCUUGAGUGGGGAAGAGGGUCGUGGAAUUCCCAGUGUAGAGGUGAAAUUCGUAGAUAUUGGGAAGAACACCGGUGGCGAAGGCGGCGACCUGGUCCUUGACUGACGCUGAGGCGCGAGAGCGUGGGGAGCAAACAGGAUUAGAUACCCUGGUAGUCCACGCUGUAAACGAUGUGCGCUGGAUGUUGGGGGGCUCAGCCCCGCAGUGUCGUAGCUAACGCGAUAAGCGCACCGCC
RNAcentral lists this ribosomal RNA (498 nucleotides) under uncultured Alphaproteobacteria bacterium. RNAcentral describes it as "bacterial SSU rRNA". It matches the Rfam family "Bacterial small subunit ribosomal RNA", at positions 358 to 873 of the family's 1533-position model. The record is from RNAcentral. Lineage: Bacteria; Pseudomonadati; Pseudomonadota; Alphaproteobacteria.